Molecule: unclassified non-coding RNA, 327 nt
Filed under: uncultured Trichosporonaceae
Lineage: Eukaryota; Fungi; Basidiomycota; Tremellomycetes; Trichosporonales; Trichosporonaceae
Description: sequence contains ITS1
Rfam family: 5.8S ribosomal RNA (bases 1-105)
Source: RNAcentral
GAAAUGCGAUAAGUAAUGUGAAUUGCAGAAUUCAGUGAAUCAUCGAAUCUUUGAACGCACCUUGCGCUCCUUGGUAUUCCGAGGAGCAUGCCUGUUUGAGUGUCAUUAAAUUCUCAACUCCUCCAGCUUUUGUUAGUUGGCUUGGAGCUUGGAUUUGGACGUUUGCCAGUCAAAUGGCUCGUCUUAAAAGAGUUAGUGAAUUUAACAUUUGUCUUCUGGCGUAAUAAGUUUCGCUGGGCUGAUAGUGUGAAGUUUGCUUCUAAUCGUCCGCAAGGACAAUUCUUGAACUCUGGCCUCAAAUCAGGUAGGACUACCCGCUGAACUUAA